UACGGGGGGUGCGAGCGUUGUCCGGAAUCACUGGGCGUAAAGGGCGCGUAGGUGGCUCUGUAAGUUUGCGGUGAAAGCCCGGGGCUCAACCCCGGGUCUGCCGUGGAUACUGCAAGGCUUGAGUACUGUAGAGGCAGGUAGAAUAUCGGGUGUAGCGGUGGAAUGCGUAGAGAUCCGAUAGAAGACCGGUGGCGAAGGCGGCCUGCUGGGCAGUAACUGACGCUGAGACGCGAAAGCGUGGGGAGCGAACCGG
This 253-nucleotide ribosomal RNA is filed under the name uncultured bacterium. RNAcentral describes it as "partial 16S ribosomal RNA". It matches the Rfam family "Bacterial small subunit ribosomal RNA", at positions 524 to 776 of the family's 1533-position model. The record is from RNAcentral.